GGGGUUGUGGCUCAGUGUUAAGAGCACUCACCUCACAGUGUGAAGCACUGGGUUCGAACCUCAGCACCACA
This 71-nucleotide transfer RNA is filed under the name Marmota monax (woodchuck). RNAcentral describes it as "tRNA.Undet". It matches the Rfam family "tRNA". From Rfam's summary of the family: Transfer RNA (tRNA) molecules are approximately 80 nucleotides in length. Their secondary structure includes four short double-helical elements and three loops (D, anti-codon, and T loops). Lineage: Eukaryota; Metazoa; Chordata; Mammalia; Rodentia; Sciuridae. The record is from RNAcentral.